RNAcentral lists this long non-coding RNA (1545 nucleotides) under Lynx canadensis (Canada lynx). RNAcentral's name for it is "lncRNA (ENSLCNG00005021994.1)". The record is from RNAcentral. Lineage: Eukaryota; Metazoa; Chordata; Mammalia; Carnivora; Felidae.
AUGCACGAGGGCUCCACAGUCCUCUGCCUCCUCACCUUCCUCCCCUCCUGGAUCCUCCGCCUCCUCACCUUCCUCCCACCUGGAUCCUCCCCCUACUCAUCACCCUCCCAACCUGGAUCCUCCCCCUCCUCACCUUCCUCCCAACUAGAUUCUGCCUCUCCUCACCUUCCUCCCCUCCUGGAUCCUCCACCUCCUCACCUUCCUCCCACCUGGGUCCUCCCCCUCCUCCUCAUUCUCCCAGCCUGGAUCAUCCGCCUCCUCACCUUCCUCCCACCUGGAACCUCCCCCUCCUCAUCAUCCUCCCCACCUGGAUCCUCCCCCACCUCACCUUCCUACCACCUGGAUCCUCUGCCUCUUUAUCUUCCUCCCACUUGGAUCCUCCCCUCCUCUUCUUCCUCCCACCUGGAUCCUCCCCCUCCUCACCUUCCUCUCACUUGGAUCCUCUGCCUCCUCAGCGUCCUCCCCACCUAUAUCCUCACCCUCCUCACCUUCCUCCCCACCUGUAUCCUCACCCUCCUCACCUUCCUCCCACCUGGAUCCUCUCCCUCCUCACCUUCCUCCCACCUGGAUCCUCUCCCUCCUCACCUUCCUCCCACCUGGAUCCUCUCCCUCCUCACCUUCCUCCCAUCUGCACCCUCCCCCUCCUCACCUUCCUCCCCACCUGUAUCCUCACCCUCCUCACCUUCCUCCCACCUGGAUCCUCUCCCUCCUCACCUUCCUCCCCACCUGUAUCCUCACCCUCCUCACCUUCCUCCCACCUGGAUCCUCUCCCUCCUCACCUUCCUCCCACCUGGAUCCUCCGCCUCCUCACUGUCCUCCCCUCCUGGAUCCUCCCCCUCCUCAUCAUCCUCCCAUCCUCCCAACCUGGAUCCUCUACCUCCUCACCUUCCUCCCACCUGGAUCCUCCCCCUACUCAUCAUCCUCCCAUCCUCCCAGCCUGGAUCCUCCGCCUCCUCAUCUUCCUCCCACCUGGAACCUCCCCCUCCUCAUCAUCCUCCCCACCUGGAUCCUACCCCACCUCACCUUCCUCCCCACCUGGGUCCUCCACCUCCUCACCUUCCUCCCACCUGGAUCCUCCGCGUCCUCACUGUCCGCCCCUCCUGGAUCCUCCCCCUCUUCAUCAUCCUCCCAUCCUCCCAACCUGGAUCCUCCGCCUCCUCACCUUCCUCCACUCUUGGAUCCUCCACGUCCUCACUAUCCUCCCACCUGGAACCUCCCCCUCCUCAUCAUCCUCCCCACCUGGAUCUUCCCCCACCUCACCUUCCUCCCACCUGGAUCCUCCCCUCCUCAACUUCCUCCCACCUGGACCCUCCGCCUCCUCACCUUCCUCCCCACCGUGAUCCUCCUGCUCCUCUCCUUCCUCCCACCCAGAUCCUCCACCUCCUCACCUUCUUCCCCACCUGUUCUCACCUUCUGUCCAUUUGCCCAUCAUCUCUAGGGUGUGUGCAACUCCAUUCACUACUUUGCCUGCAUUCAUCCUGGCUGUUCCCAGGCGGCGGCCAUAAGGGGCAGGGCUGGCAAGGUUUUCACCGGAUAUUUGAGUGA